Populus euphratica (Euphrates poplar) is the source of this 693-nucleotide long non-coding RNA. RefSeq lists it as uncharacterized. The transcript is spliced from 2 exons. The record is from RefSeq and is a predicted model, not a curated record. NCBI's taxonomy places the organism in Eukaryota, Viridiplantae, Streptophyta, Magnoliopsida, Malpighiales, Salicaceae.
AUCUUCUUGUUUUUAAAUUUUUAACUUUACAUUACUGUUUUUAAUAUUCUACCACACUCAUCCUUCUUCCAGGAGAGAGAGAUCAAAUAUAAUCAUUUGAGUAAAAUCAUAUGGAUUGCUGUUAGGGCGCGCCAUAGGAUUCACGUGAUCUUUCCAAAAACUUGGUUUCUUCCCGUUGUAUUGGGUGGGAAGCGAGCAGGUGAUGAGUGCUGAUGGGUGUCCUUUCUCAUUGCUCGGUCGUGAUAGUAGCUUCUUCAUGUGAUAAAAGAUGGAGUAAGAGAGAUGUAGCUCCAUUUCUCCUCGCUGGCACACGAGCCGUUCUCUUACUCCAAGACGUCGUAAAAGUCAUUCUCUUCCACUCUAAGGUGUUAUAAGAGGCAAAGAAUUAGGAGUUCCUCAGUGUCUCCUACUCGUAAACCUUCUAGUCCAAGUCUUGAGUUGGUGGAGUGCAACAUUCCUCGUGAAAAAAUGAGAAAAGAAGAGGAGGGGGAGAAGAAGAAGAGGUGUAUCGACUAUCAUGCAUCUUGGUUCUGUCUAUCAUCAAGUUUCUAUUGCCAUUCCUAAAUUUCAGCACUCUAAACUUAUCAUUUGAACUUUAGACAUUCAUGCAAGCUUUUUCACGAUUGCUUUAUUGAUUGCAUAUACGUUGUUAGAUUUGAUCUUGGGAUAGAAAAUGUUAGUCUAUUAGGCAUA